UACAGGGGGUGCAAACGUUGCUCGGAAUCAUUGGGCGUAAAGCGCACGUAGGCGGUUCGUUAUGUCGGAUGUGAAAGCCCUUGGCUUAACCGAGGAAGUGCAUCCGAAACUGGCGAGCUAGAGUACGAAAGAGGAUCGCGGAAUUCCCGGUGUAGAGGUGAAAUUCGUAGACAUCGGGAGGAACACCGGUGGCGAAGGCGGCGAUCUGGGUCGAUACUGACGCUGAGGUGCGAAAGCGUGGGGAGCGAACGGG
This 253-nucleotide ribosomal RNA is filed under the name uncultured bacterium. RNAcentral describes it as "partial 16S ribosomal RNA". It matches the Rfam family "Bacterial small subunit ribosomal RNA", at positions 524 to 776 of the family's 1533-position model. The record is from RNAcentral.